RNAcentral lists this ribosomal RNA (300 nucleotides) under uncultured bacterium. RNAcentral's name for it is "bacterial SSU rRNA". It matches the Rfam family "Bacterial small subunit ribosomal RNA", at positions 115 to 431 of the family's 1533-position model. The record is from RNAcentral.
ACGUGAGAAUUUACCUUUAGGAGGGGAAUAACAGUUGGAAACGAUUGCUAAUGCCGCAUAUCAUUUAGAUGAAAGAAGAAAUUCGCCUAAAGAAAAGCUUGCGUCUGAUUAGCUAGUUGGUAAGGGUAAAGGCCUACCAAGGCGACGAUCAGUAGCUGGUUUGAGAGGACGACCAGUCACACUGGGACUGAGACACGGCCCAGACUCCUACGGGAGGCAGCAGUGGGGAAUAUUGCACAAUGGGGGAAACCCUGAUGCAGCCAUGCCGCGUGUGUGAAGAAGGCCCUUCGGUUGUUAAAG